UUCAGUCUGGGAGAGUUCAGGAUACACAUUUGACAGAAACCACUGGAAAUUUUUACAGCCCAAUCUCUUCUGUAGCUGAAGACGCUCACUGCAGUCUGGCUUCUCUGCCUUCGUGGAGAAAGCAAAGGGGAAACAAGAUACUGAUACAUAUCUCUCAAGAUCAAGCCCAGGAGGAGGACCAGCUGUACCCUUUCUCCAAAUGUGUUAAAACAGCAUUUACUCUGGUGUUGUGACAGAAGACAGGUACCUUCAAACCUUGUUGCAGCUAUGGGCAUCAUCACUGCAAAGGCCUGAGGGUCUCAGUAUGUGAGGUAUUUAGCACCUGAAGAUGGCCAACAGGAUUCUGAAAACCUCCUAAGCAGAAGAGGAUAUUUUUACAAGGAAAGGUAUGGGAGCUGAAGAAUUCUGGAGAACUGCAGCAAAUUAACAACUUUUCUGCCAAAGCUUUUAAUACAGCACCCAGCAGUUUGUAACACAUGGGAUAGACAGUCCCUUGACUGACCCUGAAUUACAGUGGAUUACACAGUGGCAUAAAAACAGGAAGAAAUUGCCUUUUCUGAUGUUCCCGCAGUAGGAGAGACAACACAGCUUGCCACGUGCCAGUGAAUGUUACUUGAAUCACAUGAGGAAGACUGUCAGCCAUGAAGAAUGAAUCCUCUGGAAGGCCCCUUCAAGCACACAGUGCAACUGGGUUCCAUUUCAGAUGAUUCCCCUGUACUAUCAGUGGUGGAAAAGCAAACCACUACUUGUUGGGCAAUCUAAAGAAGGAGUCAUUUGGAGAAGGAGUCAUAGUCUAUGAGAUUUGACAGCUUCAGCAAAAACAGGUUUGUCUCUUUCUUUCCUGAUUUAAGAGCUCUUGUACUUGACAGGUUUUACAAAAAGAAAAACUAUCCCUGGCACCUUGCCCAUUGAAUGUUUGACUGCACAGAGACACCCACGCUGCCAUCCCACCCCUUUCACCUACCUCAACACACACUCCUACCCCCGUAAACAGACCGCUGCUGAUGUCUUUACCUUGCUG
Anas platyrhynchos (mallard) is the source of this 1021-nucleotide non-coding RNA. Lineage: Eukaryota; Metazoa; Chordata; Aves; Anseriformes; Anatidae. The record is from RefSeq and is a predicted model, not a curated record.